AUUGAACGCUGGCGGCAGGCCUAACACAUGCAAGUCGAGCGGAUGAAGGGAGCUUGCUCCUGGAUUCAGCGGCGGACGGGUGAGUAAUGCCUAGGAAUCUGCCUGGUAGUGGGGGAUAACGUCCGGAAACGGGCGCUAAUACCGCAUACGUCCUGAGGGAGAAAGUGGGGGAUCUUCGGACCUCACGCUAUCAGAUGAGCCUAGGUCGGAUUAGCUAGUUGGUGGGGUAAAGGCCUACCAAGGCGACGAUCCGUAACUGGUCUGAGAGGAUGAUCAGUCACACUGGAACUGAGACACGGUCCAGACUCCUACGGGAGGCAGCAGUGGGGAAUAUUGGACAAUGGGCGAAAGCCCGAUCCAGCCAUGCCGCGUGUGUGAAGAAGGUCUUCGGAUUGUAAAGCACUUUUAGUUGGGAGGAAGGGCAGUAAGUUAAUACCUUGCUGUUUUGACGUUACCAACAGAAUAAGCACCGGCUAACUUCGUG
This 484-nucleotide ribosomal RNA is filed under the name uncultured bacterium. RNAcentral describes it as "partial 16S ribosomal RNA". It matches the Rfam family "Bacterial small subunit ribosomal RNA", at positions 30 to 507 of the family's 1533-position model. The record is from RNAcentral.